GGGAGUGUUUUAAAACGACACGAGUUGCGAAUUACCUAUUCGCACAUGUAUCGUACAACGUUUUACAGUACAUAUGGCCCUUUAAAUGUUCGACACAGUAACGUAAUAUGCUACUUCUCGCACUAGUGCUAUAAAGUAGCCCCAUAUGUACUGUAAACCUAAUAAUUAUCAUGACGUCAAAUAUCAAACAUUUAUUCAGCAAGUAGGCCACAGGGGCACUUUUACAUGUCCAGUUUUACAAACAAUAAAAAUUAAAUAAAAAAAACAAUUACAAAUAUGGAAUCGAUGAAAUAAUAAAGCCUCACAUAGCCUAUGCUACUCGGGAUGACGUCAUAUCUCUAAAUCCGUUAAGGGGCUACCAGGCCAAAUUCGAUGUUUUUACGUCGAUAUAGCAAGCUUGAACGUUGUAUAAAGAAUUAACUUCUUCACACAAUAUUUUAGCUUGGUGAUUGUUCUUUAAUUAUGUCUACUGAUAUUUCAAAAAACACAGUAUCACAACAAAAUAUUUUUUCUGUGAACCCUUUUUUUUUGGGUGUUUUCUAUGUAUUUAAGUAUUAAUAAAUAUUUAUAUAUUAUAUAUAUCGUUGUCUAAGUACCCUCAACACAAGCCUUAUUGAGCUUACUGUGGGAAUUAGUCAAUUUGUGUAAUGAUGUCCUAUAAUAUUUAUUUAUUUAUUUUCUCGAGUUAAAAUCCGUAUAAACCCCCUUAUCAUGCAACGCUUAUACAUGAAACUUUAACCAAUAGUCAAUAAUUACGUACUCUUAAAUUGCCUCAACAGAUUUUUCAAUUAUAUGAAUAGUUUUUGAGAAAUCGAUACUAUAGGGGAUAUUACGCAAAACUCUGAGUAGAGCACGCCACUACCACAUUCUAAGGGCUUACCACGAAACACGAAAAUCUAAAUAUCGUUAUCUGUCUCUCUAUCACUCUAGCAUAUUCGAGUGAUAAAGAGCCCAGAUAAUGAAAUUUCGCGAUAGGUUACUUUAAACAAACCGCUUUGAUGUAUCAAUGUUAUAGUAAAAUCUUCUCAAAAAACAGUUUAAGGCACAGUAUGUAUAAGUUACUCUAUGGUUUAUGUGAUGUGAUAGUGCUGCUCUCUGGCGGCAGAACAUUGCAGUAACACUCCCUAUUCAAGCUCGUGCAUUGGCCUAACGCGGAAUGUCUGCGCGCUGCGCGGCCGUCGGACGGGGAACCUGUGGCACUCAGCGCGAUGCGCGCGCAAUUUAUUUUCUGUGAAUUGAUCGUCCGAUUUUGACUUGAGAUUUUUGAGUGAUAGGACCUUUCACACUGUUUAUAAAAAAAAAAAGUGAGUUUUAAGUGAGCGAAUAUUAAGGACGCAAUAAUUUGUUUGCUUGUGCAAAUUUAAGUUGUCAAGGUGAAGAACGAGGAAGGGGGGGUCAAGGGAAUUAGGACGCACAAGGUCAUUCAGAUAGGGAUUCAGAGGAAUUAUUAAAGGCAUUUAUGAAUUUUUGAAUUUAACUUAAUUUAAUUGAUUAUCAUCCAUAUUUAUUUACUUUAUUGACAUACUUAAUAUUAUAUAAUCGAAUUUGCUUUUUGUUUUUGUAAGGUUGACAUGUAAUUUUCAUAGUGUAAGUGUGACAUAGCAUGUAUAAUAAUUAUAAUAUCAUUGCUUAUAAGCGCCUUGGUUUAUUAGACUGUAAGCUUAUUUGUGAAUAAAAUCGAAUA
Cydia pomonella (codling moth) is the source of this 1684-nucleotide long non-coding RNA. RefSeq lists it as uncharacterized. The transcript has 2 exons. Lineage: Eukaryota; Metazoa; Arthropoda; Insecta; Lepidoptera; Tortricidae. The record is from RefSeq and is a predicted model, not a curated record.